AUACCACCUGCCCUGCAUAUAUACCAAAAAUGGAAUGAUACAAAGAUUAGCAUGACCCCUGUGCAGGAUGAUACACAAAUUUGUGAAACAUUCCACAUUUUU
RNAcentral lists this small nuclear RNA (102 nucleotides) under Chinchilla lanigera (long-tailed chinchilla). Lineage: Eukaryota; Metazoa; Chordata; Mammalia; Rodentia; Chinchillidae. The record is from RNAcentral.